AGUGAACGCUGGCGGCGUGCUUAACACAUGCAAGUCGAACGGACGAAAUGAGCUUGCUUAUUUCGUUAGUGGCGCACGGGUGAGUAAUGUAUAGCUAACCUGCCCUUUAGUGGGGGACAACAGGUGGAAACGACUGCUAAUACCCCAUACUCCUUCUUAGCGUAAGAUAAGUUGGUAAAGAUUUAUUGCUAAAGGAUGGGGCUUUAUGGUAUCAGCUAGUUGGUGGGGUAAUGGCCUACCAAGGCGACGACGCCUACCUGGUCUGAGAGGAUGAUCAGGCACACUGGAACUGAGACACGGUCCAGACUCCUACGGGAGGCAGCAGUGGGGAAUAUUGCACAAUGGGGGAAACCCUGAUGCAGCAACGCCGCGUGGAGGAUGACGCAUUUCGGUGUGUAAACUCCUUCUAUAAGGGAAGAUAAUGACGGUACCUUAUGAAUAAGCACCGGCUAACUCCGUGCCAGCCGCCGCAGUAA
Molecule: ribosomal RNA, 476 nt
Filed under: uncultured bacterium
Lineage: Bacteria
Description: partial 16S ribosomal RNA
Rfam family: Bacterial small subunit ribosomal RNA
Source: RNAcentral